GACGAACGCUGGCGGCGUGCUUAACACAUGCAAGUCGAACGAAGUGGCGAAGGGGUGAGUAACGCGUAAUCAACCUGCUCUUCAGCGGGGGACAACAGUUGGAAACGACUGCUAAUACCGCAUACUGAAGGCGGGGAGUGCGUCUGAUUAGCUAGUUGGGGGGGUAACGGCCGACCAAGGCGAUGAUCAGUAGACGGUCUGGAGAGAUGGACGGCCCCAAUUGGGCUGGGACACGGCCCAGAAUCCUACGGGGGGCAGCAGGGGGGGAACUUCCGGAAAUGACGAAAGUCUGGCCGGGGAACGGCGCGUGAGUGAUGACAGCCUUCGGGUUGUAAAGAUUUGUUAGUCGGGGCGCGGUACCGGAAUAGAAAGCCACGGCUAACUACGUGCCAGCAGCCGCGGUAAUAC
This 408-nucleotide ribosomal RNA is filed under the name uncultured bacterium. RNAcentral describes it as "partial 16S ribosomal RNA". It matches the Rfam family "Bacterial small subunit ribosomal RNA", at positions 28 to 526 of the family's 1533-position model. The record is from RNAcentral.